RNAcentral lists this ribosomal RNA (492 nucleotides) under uncultured bacterium. Its description in RNAcentral is "partial 16S ribosomal RNA". It matches the Rfam family "Bacterial small subunit ribosomal RNA", at positions 29 to 507 of the family's 1533-position model. The record is from RNAcentral.
AGUGAACGCUGGCGGUAGGCCUAACACAUGCAAGUCGAACGGCAGCACAGUAAGAGCUUGCUCUUACGGGUGGCGAGUGGCGGACGAGUGAGGAAUACAUCGGAAUCUACUUUUUCGUGGGGGAUAACGUAGGGAAACUUACGCUAAUACCGCAUACGACCUGCGGGUGAAAGCAGGGGAUCUUCGGACCUUGCGCGAUUGAAUGAGCCGAUGUCGGAUUAGCUAGUUGGCGGGGUAAAGGCCCACCAAGGCGACGAUCCGUAGCUGGUCUGAGAGGAUGAUCAGCCACACUGGAACUGAGACACGGUCCAGACUCCUACGGGAGGCAGCAGUGGGGAAUAUUGGACAAUGGGCGAAAGCCUGAUCCAGCCAUACCGCGUGGGUGAAGAAGGCCUUCGGGUUGUAAAGCCCUUUUGUUGGGAAAGAAAAGCAGCAGGUUAAUACCCCGCUGUUCUGACGGUACCCAAAGAAUAAGCACCGGCUAACUUCGUG